AAGAGAUAAGGGUAAGGAGCCUCGCCGUCGAAUCUACCCUCCCGCCACCAUCACCAGACCUAGGGACCAUCGUUGCCGUGUCUCUACAGUAUUGGGAGCAGCCGAUCUGUCACCGGAAGGGCUGCACACACUCAAAGAAAUCCUCUGUUUCAUUGAGAAGACAAGGAGCGUGCAGAACGACCGGUCAUCUUUUUCUCUAUUUCUCUUAUUAUAAGGGAAAGAUCUCCGCCGCCGCCGCCCAACAGUAGUGGUGAGAUCUCCUCGCUUCACCGAGUGCCGAUCUCGGUCCAGAGAAGGCGCGCCCUAUAGGGUGUUUGGGUGAGCAGAUCUCCACUCUCUACUCAUCUGUGGAGAGUAGAGGAUCUCCCUGGCCGUAGAAGGUUUUCGAUCUUGAAAGAGCAGAGGGUCCCCGAUCUCCCUGGUCGCAGCCUCACCUUCGCAAGGCGAUCUCACUCAAGUUGCCGGGCCCCUUUUCACUGAUGAGAAGAGGAAAGAGGAGAGCAGUGCCGAUAGCAACGGAGUUCUCUCCUCCCUUCACCAAUCGCCAACAGCCCAGUUCUUGAGUUUGUUUACUUUUCCUUCUUUUACAUGCUCUAUUCCUACAACCUCUUCCCUUCUUGCAGAAGAAGAGACCCAGACCCCUCCUCUGUUCGCGUAAGAGGAAGAAGGAAAGCAGAGGAUGCGAUCUCCCUCCUCCUCUGAUCAAUCUCGCUGGCCAAUCGCUCCUUGAGAACAGAAACCUCUGCCCCUUUCCUCGUCGUCGCCCUCCUCUGUUCCACAAAGAAAGAAGAGCGCCGGCCGUAGAGAGGAUAGGGUUCCGUUCCCUUCUGCGAAGAAGAACAGAAAUCUCCUCCUCUAUUCCAUGAGAGCGUAGAUCCGCUGGUUGCGAGCCUUCACCCUUAAAUAGGAGGAAAGUUUUACCUAGCGAAGUCUCGAUAGCAUUGACUUAUAAAUUUGAGUCUCUAAGGUGUGGAAUUGAUGCAAAAUCUCAAGUCAAGAAAUGGUAAAAGGAAUUAUGCUUAGAGCCCGCGAUGCUCUACCGGCCCCCUAUGACUUAACUCAGACGUGGGUGGAUGGAGCUCCCAGACGUGGGAGACUUAUGUUUGGUGGUCAUUCAGAAAUGGAUUGAUCAUAUUAUUUUAUGAUCUCACUUCACCUUCUAUAUGUUUGAUAUGAUAUCAAAAGCUUUGGCUAUGUUUCUAUACAUGCUUUGGAUAAGAAUAAAAUGAAUGCAUCGUCAGGUGACAUUUGAGCUUCUAUU
This is a long non-coding RNA of Musa acuminata AAA Group (dessert banana), 1261 nucleotides long. RefSeq lists it as uncharacterized. The transcript has 2 exons. The record is from RefSeq and is a predicted model, not a curated record. NCBI's taxonomy places the organism in Eukaryota, Viridiplantae, Streptophyta, Magnoliopsida, Zingiberales, Musaceae.